Molecule: ribosomal RNA, 477 nt
Filed under: Candidatus Brocadia carolinensis
Lineage: Bacteria; Pseudomonadati; Planctomycetota; Candidatus Brocadiia; Candidatus Brocadiales; Candidatus Brocadiaceae
Description: bacterial SSU rRNA
Rfam family: Bacterial small subunit ribosomal RNA
Source: RNAcentral
UUCGCAAUGCCCGAAAGGGUGACGAAGCGACGCCGCGUGCGGGAAGAAGGCCUUCGGGUUGUAAACCGCUGUCGGGAGUUAAGAAGUGCAAGGGUGUUAAUAGCAUCUUUGCUUGACUAAGGCUCCGGAGGAGGCCACGGCUAACUCUGUGCCAGCAGCCGCGGUAAUACAGAGGCGGCAAGCGUUGUUCGGAAUUAUUGGGCGUAAAGAGCACGUAGGCGGCUAUGCAAGUCGGUUGUGAAAGCCUUCCGCUCAACGGAAGAACGGCAUCCGAUACUGCAUGGCUCGAGUGCGGGAGGGGAGAGUGGAACUUCUGGUGGAGCGGUGAAAUGCGUAGAUAUCAGAAGGAACACCGGCGGCGAAAGCGACUCUCUAGCCCGUAACUGACGCUGAGUGUGCGAAAGCUAGGGGAGCAAACGGGAUUAGAUACCCCGGUAGUCCUAGCCGUAAACGAUGGGCACUAAGUAGAGGGGUUUU